GGUGAUCAGACCCGAUGGGCACCCUGGAUUAUACUGGGGGAACCCAUGGAUGAAGGGUUAUAGUGACUGCAUCCACUGGUGCUUGCCUGGCCCCAUUGAUACAUGGAAUGAGCUGUUGUUGGAGAUGAUCAAGAGAUAAAAAUUUUACCUGCAUUGAAAUUGUAAAUUUGUAUUUGUAUAAGAUCUAUCUCUCGUCCUUAUUUUUAUUAUUAUUAUUAUUAUUAUUAUUUUUUUUCGCAUAGAAGGAUAAACAUAUGCAUCUCCUUUCUACUUGAAACUCCAAUACUUUCUAGGCAAUUUUCCAUAAAACCUCAAGUGCAUGUUUGGUGCAGGGUACUAAAUUUUAUAAUGAACAUGACUUCUCCUAGUCAUCUAUCUACAGUGGGAAGUUUUAUCUUGUCCAUUUUAAAGAGAACAUUAUUUAUGGUUCUCACAUUUGGAGAGAAUUGUAAGUAAGGUUCUCAUGUCAUAUUAGCAAGUUGGCAAUCUUAUCUCGAACUCAUUAUGAUAUCCAAUCUUUUCUACAAAACAUGCUUCGAGAGAACCUUUGGAGUUGGACUUCCAAUACUGGAAAAGCACAAAAUUGAUCAUUCACAUUGUCAAUAUCAUUAAGGGCCUAUUUGACUAUUCCAUUUCUUGUAAAAGAGCUUCUUGAAAAUUUAUCUUUAAGUCUACUUCUUCUAAAAACUCUUUUAAUUAGACAAAAAAUACUUUAAAAAAUUUAUUCAAACAUGUAACAUGUUCGACAUCAAUUUCUUACUCUCAUAAAUAACUUUUAACUUCUUAAAAGUAGGACUGGACAUGGUUCGAUUCGGUUCGGUUCUAACGAGAACCGAACCGACUCGAAAUUUUCGGGUAUUUAGUAAGUGGAACCGUUGGGUCCAAAUUUAAGUACAGAACCGUUCGGAUUCAGUUCCAUUCGGUUCGGUUCGGUCCGGUUCGGUUCCGUAUUAUAAUUAAAUUUUUUAAUAUAUACAAAGUUACGUUAAUUUAAUUAAUGAUAUAUUUAAUAUUAGCUCUUACAAAAUAACGUAAUUCAAUCUUAUGUGUUUCACGUCUCUCUUUGCUGAAUUCUUCAUAAAUUUGAUUAUUAAAAUUACAGAAAGAGAAAGAUAGCGAGCUCAAAAUAAUUAAGAGAAAUGUUGUAGAGUUUUAAUUCAAUUUUUUCCGGUAGAAACGACACUACAGUAGAAUAACAAAUUUGGAUAAAAUUGAGGUCAAUUUGAUUAAGUCGAUUUUGAACUGAAUAUUAGAAAUAGGAAAAUCAUAUUUUGUAGUUUGAACUAAAUUAACUAGUUAAUAAAUUUAUUUAGAAAAAAUAAAAUAAUUUUACUUAUUUAAAAUAAAUUAAUUUAAAAAAUUACGGAGAUUCGGUUCUUAUUCGAUUUUUCGGGUCUUGGCCUAGAACCGAGAACCGAACCAUACCCGUCAGUUCUUGAUUCAAAUACCCGUUCGGAUAUUUAAUUACAGAAAUUAUGGUGAUCAGACCCGAUGGGCACCCUGGAUUAUACUGGGGGAACCCAUGGAUGAAGGGUUAUAGUGACUGCAUCCACUGGUGCUUGCCUGGCCCCAUUGAUACAUGGAAUGAGCUGUUGUUGGAGAUGAUCAAGAGAUAAAAAUUUUACCUGCAUUGAAAUUGUAAAUUUGUAUUUGUAUAAGAUCUAUCUCUCGUCCUUAUUUUUAUUAUUAUUUUUUUUUUUUUUCGCAUAGAAGGAUAAACAUAUGCAUCUCCUUUCUACUUGAAACUCCAAUACUUUCUAGGCAAUUUUCCAUAAAACCUCAAGUGCAUGUUUGGUGCAGGGUACUAAAUUUUAUAAUGAACAUGACUUCUCCUAG
Molecule: long non-coding RNA, 1836 nt
Filed under: Olea europaea (common olive)
Lineage: Eukaryota; Viridiplantae; Streptophyta; Magnoliopsida; Lamiales; Oleaceae
Description: long non-coding RNA (OEUR_LNC003356)
Source: RNAcentral